CGCCGGCGAAGGAGCAACAUCUGAACACAGCGAAGCCGGGAGAGGAGAGAUUGAGAUCGGAAGGGUGGCUGCAACCCCCUCGGUGCAGCUUGGCCCAUGGCGGUGGAAGGGGAUGUUAUACAAACAUGGCCGCCAGGACGACAAUGUGCGAGACGCGGAACACUGUUUUCUUCAUUUUUUCACGGGACGAGAAUAACGAAAUUAAGUUGUUACAAACGAUGUAGCGGAGGGAUCGCUGAUAGAUAGCCCGUGAUAAGGGAUUGGUCACGGCUGUGUAAUUUAUCCUGUCCGGAGGCGAAGGCGAAAACGCAUGACGGGCAACGAUGUGUAUUUUUAUGCCGCAGGAGUCGUUAAACAGUCGUCCGUCCGUUUGCGACAAAUGGUAACAGGUUCCAGCCAUUAAUCAGUUUCCUGCUAACGAUGCGACUGGAAUCGCGGGACUUCUUUCUUUUUACCUCAGCUUAAAAGCUCCUUUUAAUGUUGAUUGGGCUCGGCAAAGAUAUCUUCCGAGGACGCCAGGCGACAUAAUAAAUAUUUUUUUCAUUUUGGUCUUAUCCUUUUUUAUCCCUCUUUUCUAAUUGGAACGAAAUUGAUGUAUUUUAUUACAAUUCCUCCUCUCUCUUCCAUUUUUGCUUUUAUGUUAAUCCAUUUAUUGCGUUUUGCGUUGGUAUUUCGUCCUGUCCACGGGUCCGUUCAUCAGGACUUCUAGAAGCUAGAAUCAUACUAAGUUCAGCAAUAAUAUCAAAUAAAGUGUUUAUUCGAAUGUAUGUAUAAUUUUUUUAAAGAUAUUUGCUCACGGUGCUGAUGUCAGGUCA
Cimex lectularius (bed bug) is the source of this 815-nucleotide long non-coding RNA. RefSeq lists it as uncharacterized. The record is from RefSeq and is a predicted model, not a curated record. Lineage: Eukaryota; Metazoa; Arthropoda; Insecta; Hemiptera; Cimicidae. The transcript is spliced from 5 exons.